Long non-coding RNA from Balaenoptera ricei (Rice's whale), 1585 nucleotides. RefSeq lists it as uncharacterized. The transcript is spliced from 5 exons. Lineage: Eukaryota; Metazoa; Chordata; Mammalia; Artiodactyla; Balaenopteridae. The record is from RefSeq and is a predicted model, not a curated record.
GCAAGCUGAGGGAGGAGAAGAGCGGUGGUGGGCGGAGUCCUGCCACCUGCUCUCGCCACCCUUAAAUUCUCCGGGUCUCGAGCUGCGCUGAAAACAGGAAAACGUGACGGCGUGUUUUGCUCGGGAAAGUUCUGAGCCUUCGGUUUUACGUCCCGCCUCCGGCCCAGGGCUAACUUUCUCCACCUGUCCGGGAGGUCAAGGUGACUACCAGUCUUACAAGUGGAGACUCACAAACUUCCAGGGCUGGCGGGUUGCUGAGGUGCCGCACUUGCCUCACGAGCGCAGGACCCGCUCUGUGUCAAGUCCCUAGCUGAUCAGUUGCUGGAGUCGCCCUCCUGCAGCUCCAAUAAUGAAUUGAGGCUCUUCUGUUUAAUGUGAGGCGGAAUACGCUUCCUCUCGCGGGAACUGAACUCGAGCAGCAGAAUCAACCCAAAAGACAAGUUGAACUAUCGUAUGUGCUAUGAAUAACCUUAAUGUCGACAACAACUUGUUAGUCACAAAGCACAGAGCCUCCGUGCACCAGUUGAAGAGAUACUCUGCAGAGAGGCCACCUAGCUUCUCCCCAGGCCCUGCCUAGCCAAAAAGGACCUGUGAUACCUGUGAACAGAAGCAGAAAGGCUGUUGGUCAGGAGUGCAGGGGAAAGGCGUGCUGGACCAAGUUGGAGGCUGGAAAAAAAUGCCAGCAGCGUAAGCUUGCCAUGCCCACAGUCGUGGGAGAAGAGUCCGGAAAGGACUGAGGGAUGCAGAGGCAGACGGCAGCAGCAGAGGCUGAGAGCAGCGCCGAGCCCCAGUCACAGGUCACAGAACGUGCUUUCCAGGUGUGUACCAUGGUGAAGAUACCAUACAGCCUCUGAAACACACACGCCCGACCGAUCACCCCAACAACCAGAUAGCAGGUGUUCGCCAUUGAGUCUUCUUCGCCUUCUCUUAUUCUAGGUCUUGGAAGAUAGUAAAGAUGUCCUUUGUUGAUUUUAACCUGAGACAGCUCUUCUAUAGUUUGUCAUAUAUCAUGAGAACUCAGUAAAUCAUCACUAAGCAUAAGGAUUCCGCUUUUCCUUUAUCAUUUUACCUAUUCAUCAAGGUCCCUUGAGGCUCACCUUCUCCAGGAAACCUCUGUGAUUCCAUCCAACCCCCAGGGAUGCUCCCUUAUGAGGACUUAUAGUACUUAUUCAAUAGAUAAUUAUAUUCUCUUGCAGCACCUUUUUUUUUAAUCUUAAAUUUAUAUGCAUCUAGCUAUCUUAAGGGCAUGCACUAGGUGUUAUACUUCUUUGUAUCUCUCAUAGCAUCUAGUACCAGGCAGGCACUUGGCUGGUGUUCAGGAAAAAAUAUGUAAAAUAGGUCAGUGAAAGAACAAAAGAGCAAAGCCAGGUAUCCUCACUUUGUUGAUCAUGGAGUGGUACAGUAAUUACCUUAAAUAGUGUAAGCCGGUUGUGAAUUGAUGGUCUAGAUGGUUAUUAUUACAUUUUACACAGAUCUGAUUCUUAUACAGAUUCUUACAUUUAACUCAGAUAUUUGACUUAAUAUUUAUCCCUAUUUCUUAAGGCCUUUGCCAAUUUUGUAUUCAUGAUAUUCUUAACUUUUGACU